Molecule: long non-coding RNA, 8274 nt
Filed under: Lactuca sativa (garden lettuce)
Lineage: Eukaryota; Viridiplantae; Streptophyta; Magnoliopsida; Asterales; Asteraceae
Description: long non-coding RNA (LSAT_LNC005157)
Source: RNAcentral
GGGUAGGUCGGGAACCCAGAUAUGCCUGACGAUAGAUGUAUGUUAUGUGAUUAUUAUGGUAUGUGGUACAGUGGGGGAACUCACUAAGCUUUGUGCUUACGUUUUUCAGUUGUUGUUUCAGGUACCUCUUCAGCAAAGGGGAAGGAGCAGGCUCGGUAGCAGCAUAUCACACACACUCUUGUUUCCGCAGUUAUGAGUUUAUUCUGGGAUUGACACUCUGAUAUUUUGGUUGUUUAAAUGUUGUGGAUUUCAAUUUGGUUUUCGAUGUGAAAUGGUUUAAUUAUACAAUUUUUAAUUAUUAAUGAUUUCCAAGUAAUGAUUUAUAAACAAAAUUUUUGGACGUGAAAAUUGGGUCGUUACAAGUUGGUAUCAGAGCCCUGGUUUGAGGGAUUCGGACACACCUUCGGGGGUGUCUGAACUCAAACCGAGGGAUUAAAAGAUUUUCUAAAAGAAAAUGUUUGCUAAAAAUUGAGAAAAGAGUUUUGAGAAAGAACGAAGUGUGUGAUGUGUGCGACCGGCCGAGCUCAAGUAAGUAUUCCCCAAAGUACCCAUACAAGUUUAUGUUAUGUUUAUUAGCUUUUGUAGAACAACAUGCUAGAAUAGGACUAAGGAUCUAGGAGUGAUGCCUUAUGUGCCUGCUUUAUGUGUUUCAGCUGUAUGAGAAUUGCAUGCUAGUAUUGAGUAGACAGCAAGUAGGAUAGCCUGAUUAGGUUAUGCCUGAUGGUUUGAGCUUAGCAUUGUAUGCUAGUACAAUUCCUGUAAGCAGAUAGAGUUGAUUGAGAUUGUUCCCUUAGUUCAAAUGCUGCUUGCUUUGUGCUUUGUGGGGCUCUGAGUGGUGGGAGUUAGCCAUUAGGUGAAUACGUCACGUCACAUGUGAUCAGGGUUGAAUAAUCUUAGAGUGCUGGAUUUGGCCCUAUUGCGCAGCUCUCGUUUGAUUCUAACCGUUGUAGGGAUGAGCCUGUCACUCGAAGGAUUAUCCGAGCCUCACCACAUGUGAUGGUAUUCAGGUAAUGAUUAAUUAGCACUACUAAGAGGCCUUCAGCAGCUGAGGACCUGGUAGGGUGGAGCCUGAGAUUUCCCUAGGGCAAGCCUAGGAUGAGUAUAGCAGUAAUCAGCCGUAGUGGAAGGGAUCUGGUAGAGUCGAGGCAGUCCUUGAAGAAGGUACGGAUAGAUGUGGAAGGUAGUAUGGGCCCGUACUACUGAAAGCAAAGGAUUCGUACCCGAACCAAGGAAGGCCAAGAUAAGACUAGGGAACUUGUAAGUAGUUGUGAUCCCUCAGGAAGUAUCAGUAUCACUAAUGAUUGUUAUUAUGUAUUGCAGAAUGGUGGUACUUCGAUCGAGGCCGAUAGAUGGCGGUUCAAGAGAGGGGUCAGGUUCGGGAUCAGGUUCCGAGCCGGUAGUUGAGGGACUACGCGAGUUCAUCGCGUCAGAGAUCACCAUGGGUAUCCUUGAGUCGACCCCCAUUAUCUUCGGGUCGAUCAAGGAAGGCAUCAUCGAGUUGAUGGAGGAUCGCCUCAGGGCGUCCAGGAGUGACAUGGCAUCUGGCCAGUCGGGAUCUUGCACGCUGUCCUUUAAGGACUUCAGGGGCAGUGGUGCACCAGAUUUCCAAGGGGUGAAAGACCCCAUUGCUGCCAGGCGAUGGAUUGCAGACAUAGAGUCUGCACAGUUGACUAGCUUCUGCCCCGAGGGGUCGAAGGUGAGGUAUGCAGCAGGGUGUUUACGAGACCGAGCCCGAGAUUGGUGGGAGUCAGUGGGUGACUCGUUGGGAGCCUCAGUNNNNNNNNNNNNNNNNNNNNNNNNNNNNNNNNNNNNNNNNNNNNNNNNNNNNNNNNNNNNNNNNNNNNNNNNNNNNNNNNNNNNNNNNNNNNNNNNNNNNNNNNNNNNUACGGGACCGAGCCCGGGAUUGGUGGGAGUCAGUGGGUGACUCGUUGGGAGCCUCAGCUAUCGAGGCUAUGACCUGGUCGGACUUUGUGACCAGGUUCAUGGCAGAGUUUGCGCCGGCUGUCGAGCUUCAACAGCUGGCCAGGGAGUUUUUGGACAUGAGGCAGACGACGGAGACUGUGGUGGAUAUCACCGCCAAGUUCUGGGAGACGGCUUUGUUGGUGCCCCAGUAUGCAGGUGACGAGGAUAUGAGGAGGACCUGUUAUCAUGAUAUGCUACGGGCUGACAUCCGGGAGCAUGUUAGCUUUUCAACUUGCCCUACCUUGGACUCCAGGAUUGCCAGGGCAAGGGAGAGGGAGACAGACUUGGAGCACAUCCGGAAACGCAAGGCAGAAGAGGGUCAGUCAGGAGGGGCUUCGGGGAAGAAGCCCAAGGGAUCAGAUGGUAGGCCGAAAGGUCAGUCAGGACCGAGCCGCUGCGGGAAAUGCGGCAGGACGCAUGUGGGGGCAUGUAGGAUGGGUUCAGUAGGCUGCUACAAGUGCGGCAAGGCAGGGCACUUUAGCAGGGAUUGUACUGCUCCAGUUUCAGCUAUUCAGACAUUGGAGUUGCUGUGUUUUCACUGCAAUCAGAGGGGCCACAAGAAGGCCAAUUGCCCCCAGUUGACAGUUUCAGCGCCAGUGAAGGCGCCAGCUCCAGCGACCCUGUGAAUCACUAAUGGCCGACAGGGCAAGGCAGAGGCGCCGGUGGUGAGGAGCCGGGCAUUUCAGCUGACUACCGAGGAGGCACGCGCCGCACCCGAUGUGGUGACGGGUAUGAUUCUUUUCCCUCUAUUUUAUUUUUAUGAUGCUAUGUUAUUGAUAUGUGCUCUGUGUGCAUUAGGAUCGUUCCAUGUGAACGGCAUCCCAGUUCAGGUUUUGUUCGACUCGGGUGCAUCCCGAUCAUUUGUUUCCCUUGCACUAAGCAAGAAGUUUCCUGAGUCUUCGGGCGAGUUAGAUUGCCCUUUGGAGGUAGAGAUUGCUGAUGAUCGAUCGGUGCGAGCAUCGAUGGUGUUUCGGGAUUGCGUAUUGCGUUUGUUUGAGGAGCGUUAUUUGGUAGACUUGGUUCACAUUCCGUUGCGUGGGAACAAGGUGAUUAUAGGCAUGGAUUGGUUGAGCCCCAAUGGGGCGGUGAUAGAUUGCGCACAUCAGCUAGUGCGAGUCAGGACUCCAAGUGGGGGAGAGUUAGUGAUUCAUGGCGAGAGGCCACAGUGUGGACCCACAGUCUGUUUGGCAGCGAGGGCUAGAUGAUACCUUCAGCAGGGAUGCGCAGGAUAUGUCGCGUACGUUGUGGAUACCCGGGAGGUGGGUAAGGCGACGGUGAGCGAGGUUCUGGUGGUGCGAGAUUUCGCAGAUUUUUUUCCAGAGGAGCUUCCUGGGAUACCUCCGGAGCGACAGGUUGAGUUUAGGAUUGACCUCGUUCCUGGUGCGGCUCCGAUAGCCAAGGCACCAUAUCGGUUGGCUCCUCCUGAGAUGCAGGAGUUGUCUACACAGCUGCAGGAGCUGUUAGACAAGGGAUUCAUUCGACCGAGCAGUUCACCCUGGGGAGCCCCAAUUCUGUUCGUGAAGAAGAAGGACGGGUCGCAUCGGAUGUGUAUAGAUUACCGGGAGCUGAACAAGGUAACGGUGAAGAACCGUUACCCACUCCCGAGGAUUGAUGAUCUCUUUGACCAGUUACAGGGAGCAUCUUGGUUCUCCAAGAUUGAUUUGCGUUCGGGUUAUCAUCAGAUGAGGGUCAGGGAGGAGGAUAUGCAGAAGACCACGUUUCGGACGCGCUAUGGCCAUUAUGAGUUCGUGGUGAUGCCGUUUGGGCUCACCAAUGCUCCUGCCGCGUUCAUGGACCUCAUGAACCGCGUAUGUAGACCGAUGCUGGAUCGGUCUGUGAUAGUCUUUAUCGAUGACAUCUUGGUUUAUUCCAAGACUCAGGAGGAGCAUGAGGAGCAUCUGAGAGAGGUGUUGGAGACCCUGAGGAGGGAGAGCUUGUAUGCCAAGUUCUCUAAGUGUGAGUUUUGGUUGCGCGAGGUGCAAUUUCUCGGACACCUUGUCAACCAGAACGGGAUUCUGGUCGAUCCGGCCAAGGUCAAGGCCGUGAUGAGAUGGGAGGUUCCGAAGUCUCCAUCUGAGAUUUGGAGUUUCCUAGGAUUGGCUGGCUAUUAUCGGAGAUUCAUUCAGGAAUUCUCCAAGAUAGUCGUACCCCUGACGCGGCUGACGAAGAAAGCCGUAGUCUUUCGAUGGGGACCCGAGCAGCAGGCUGCAUUUGAGAUGCUGACACAGAGAUUGUGCGAGGCGCCGAUCUUAACCCUGCCAGAGGGUAUAGAGGAUUUUGUGGUUUAUUGUGACGCGUCCAUUUCUGGGUUGGGCGCGGUACUGAUGCAGAGGGGGCAUGUCAUUGCCUACGCUUCGAGGCAGCUCAAGCCUCACGAGGCGAACUACCCGACGCAUGAUUUGGAGUUGGGGGCGGUGGUUUUUGCCCUCAAGAUUUGGCGGCAUUACCUCUACGGGGUUCGAUGUACCAUCUACACGGACCACAAGAGUUUGAGGUACCUCAUGGAUCAGCCGAAUCUGAACAUGAGGCAGCGUCGGUGGUUGGACGUGGUGAAGGAUUAUGAUUGCGAGAUCCUUUACCACCCGGGGAAGGCCAACGUGGUGGCCGAUGCGCUUAGCCGCAAGGCGGCGCCGAUCAGGGAUAUGUGCAUGAGGAUGACCGUAGUGACUCCCUUGUUGGAGCAGAUUCGGGAGGCCCAACAGGAGGCUAUCAAGGAGGAACAUCGAAAGAGCGAGCGUGUGGUGGGUCAGGUUUCCUCCUUUGAUUAUGAUAGCCGAGGACUAUUGACACUACACCGUAGGGUGUGGGUGCCGUAUCACGGAGGCGUGCGCCAGAUUUUGAUGGAGGAGGCGCACAAGUCCCGAUUCUCUAUUCAUCCCGGGGCGACGAAGAUGUAUAGGGAUCUUCGUCUAGAUUAUUGGUGGCCCUGCAUGAAGCAGGAUGUGGCAUGGUACGUUGAGCGGUGCUUGACCUGCAGGAAGGUCAAGGACGAACAUUAGAGACCGCAUGGCAAGAUGCAGCCAUUGGAUAUUCCACCUGCAGGAAGGUCAAGGACGAACAUCACGAUGGAUUUUAUCACGAAGCUUCCCAGGACUGCACGUGGAGUAGAUUCGAUUUGGGUCAUCGUGGAUCGAUUGACCAAGAGUGCUCACUUUAUCCCGAUUCAGGAGAGCAUAUCGGCCGAGAAAUUGGCCGACAUCUAUAUCAGGGAGAUCGUGGCGCGGCACGGGGUGCCAGUAUCGGUUAUCUCGGACAGGGAUGUGCGUUUUACUUCCAGGUUUUGGAAGAGAUUUCAUGACGAGUUGGGCACUCGUUUGCAUUUUAGCACCACCUUUCACCCGCAGAUGGAUGGUUAGAGCGAGCGGACCAUCCAGACCUUGGAGGAUAUGUUGCGGGCAUGCGUGUUAGAUUUCAGUGGUAGCUGGGAUACCUACCUUCCCUUGGCCGAGUUCUUAUACAACAACAGCUACCACGCGAGUAUUGACCGUCCCCCAUUUGAGAUGUUGUAUGGUCGGAGGUGCAGGACCCCAAUAUGUUGGGGUGAAGUUGGCCAGAGAGUCAUGGGGAGCACCGAGGUGGUGCUCAAGACAACCGAUAGGAUCUAGCAGGUUCGGAGCAGGCUUUAGACUGCUCAGAGUCGACAGAAAAGUUACGCCGACAAGCGUCGAUCCGACUUGGAGUUCCAAGUCGGGGAUAUGGUUCUCCUGAAGGUGUCGCCUUGGAAGGGCGUCAUUCGAUUCAGGAAGCAGGGUAAGUUAGGCCCAAGGUAUAUUGGGCCAUUCAGGGUCGUAGCCCGGGUGGGCAAGGUGGCGUAUAGGCAGGAUCUGCCAGCCGAGCUCAGCCAAAUCCACAACAUUUUCCAUGUUUCUCAGCUGCGGAAGUGACUAGUAGACGAUUCAGCGGUAGUGCCGUUAGAGGAUAUACAGGUUGACGACAGCCUGAAUUACAUUGAGCGCCCAGUCACAAUCCUCGAUAGGAAGUCAAAGGAUUUGAGGAACAAGAAGGUGGAGCUAGUGAAGGUGCAAUGGCAGCACCGCAAGGGUUCAGAGUGGACUUAGGAGCCGGUGGAAGAGAUGAUGGAGCAUUACCCCGAGCUGUUUCAGGAUCGAGCAGCAGACUUCGAGGACGAAGUCUAAAAUAAGUGGGGGAGAUUUGUAGCACCUGGUUCCUGGUACGUAAACCUUAUUUGAGUAUUUUCCAUUUUUAGCCUUGGACUCGGCGAGUCAUAGGUCCGACUCGCCGAUUAGAGACGGGACCCAAGACAUGUUUAAUUUGGCGAAUCGGCGAGUCCAUAUUCUGUACUCGGCGAGUCACUGCUGUUUGAUGAAACCCUAAGUUUCAUGGGUUUGCACCCUAUUUAAUCUCUCAUUUCCGCCCCAAGCCAACCCCCAUUCACCCUCAGAGCCCUAUACCUCGUUCUAAGCCUUGAUUCUUGUGGAUUUGAAGCCUUUGGUGUUCUCUUGAAGCUUUGGAGUGAGAAGGAGAGGAGAUCAAGAAGGAGAAGAGGAGGUCAAGCAUCUUUGAGCUAUCUCAGAGUGUUCACUAAUGUAUGGCUCGUUUCCCCCAUGUUUUCAUGCUUAUGGCCCCAUUAAAGUACUUCUUGAACCAUUUCCAAGCUUGUGUUUACUUGAGGACUCGUAAUAAGCUGAGUAGCUCAUAGAUCUAAGUGGAAUCGAGCUCCAAGAGCCUGGAUCUACCACCUUUAUGGACCCAUGUUGCUUGUUCACCCUAGAUCUACCCUUUUGAGGCAUUUUGAGCCCUAAAUCCCUCAUUGGUGAGUAUCUACACGUAAAGUUGGAAACUUUACGUGUCAUUCAUGCUCUAGGAACCCAGAUCUGUGAAUGGCAUGGACUGGAAUCGAGCAAAAUCGCGUAUAUAGUGAUUGCAUGGCGACGACUCGGCGAGUCGUUCAUCUGACUCGGCGAGUCUGCUCGCGAGUCUCCGAGUUGUCCCCUUUUUGUUGUGUCGAGUGUGAGUAGUGAGUCACGGGGUGUGACUCAGUGAGUUGGAAGCCGAACUCAUCCAUGAAGGAACUCGGCGAGUCAUUGCCCUGACUCGGCGAGUUCAAGGCAAUCUCCUUAGAUCAAGAACAGACUCGACGAGUGGUUCAUACAACUCGGCGAGUCGCAGCAUAAGUGUUCAUCGGAUGAAGAUGAACUCGGCGAGUUGUUCAUACAACUCGGCGAGUAGGAUGAAGGACUUGAACCUCAGUUUAGAAGGAGAACUCGUCGAGUCAACGCCUAACUCGACGAGUAGGGGCGGGAUCCAGGAUAAUCGAUUGGAUAGAGAUUCGGCGAGUUGGAGAGCUAACUCGGCGAGUCGGGUCAACUAAAAGUUGACUCUGACUUUGACUUAUGACAUGAUCAGGGGUAAAAUGGUCAUUUUACACAAAGGACAGUUAGCAGUGAUUGAUUGAGUAUGUUGUGGGAAUUACAACCAGAGGAUUUCCGGAGUAGCAGCAGCAGCAGUAGACAGUCAGUUCCCGAUCAGACCAGCAGCUACUUCGAGGUGAGUUACCUUCCAGUAGCGGUGGAUCUACGGCUACAAUGCCAGCCCACCAGUAGGAGUUGUAUGUGGAUGAUUGUCUCCGUGAUAUUCAUCUAGGUUUACUACUACCUGUUCCAUGCUUAUGUGCUAUUAUGAUGUGAUGCUAUGUGUUAAUGGUAGUAGGGGAGAUAGUCCCCAAGUUAUCCGGUCGAUAAGGCUGAAGGGGUAGUUAUACCCAGCCAUGCUAGAUAGAUUCUGAUACUGUGGUACAUGUUAUGCGGUAGUAGUAGAGGGGAGAAGUCGUCUCCAGUACCCGGUCGAGAGGACCGAAGGGGAGGCCAGCACCCAGGUAUGCUAGGCAAUAUCCGGUCGAGAGGACCGAAGGGGUAGGUCGGGCACCCAGAUAUACCUGACGAUAGAUGUAUGUUAUGUGAUUAUUAUGGUAUGUGGUACAGUGGGGGAACUCACUAAGAUUUGUGCUUACGUUUUUUAGUUGUUGUUUCAGGUACCUCUUCAGCCAAGGGGAAGGAGCAGGCUCGGUAGCAGCAUAUCACACACACUUUUGUUUCCGCAGUUAUGCGUUUAUUCUGGGAUUGACACUCUGAUAUUUUGGUUGUUUAAAUGUUGUGGAUUUCAAUUUGGUUUUCGAUGUGAAUUGGUUUAAUUAUACAAUGUUUUAAUUAUUAAUGAUUUCCAUGUAAUGAUUUAUAAACAAAAUUUUUGGACGUGAAAAUUGGGUCGUUACACUAUCCCCCGACUAGGGUCCUGAUCUGAACCAACUGCUAUGAACAGUCGAUCACUACCCCGUUGGAGCUCAACCAAUCC